GUAUAUAUUGAAAGAAGAAACCGUAAGCACUCCCCUUGACAAGGAUAAAACAUAAAAUUGUUAAAGCACAACUUGACCACAUUUU
Small nuclear RNA from Pieris rapae (cabbage white), 85 nucleotides. NCBI's taxonomy places the organism in Eukaryota, Metazoa, Arthropoda, Insecta, Lepidoptera, Pieridae. The record is from RefSeq and is a predicted model, not a curated record.